RNAcentral lists this long non-coding RNA (1362 nucleotides) under Marmota monax (woodchuck). Lineage: Eukaryota; Metazoa; Chordata; Mammalia; Rodentia; Sciuridae. The record is from RNAcentral.
UUUUUUUUUAAGUCCAGAGCUAACCAGCCAAGGGCUGAUGCUCUGUCAGUCUUGCUGUUCUGCCUGCCUUUACAUUUCAAAAGGACUACUGCACAUCCAGGUAUCACAUAGCCCUUUAAGAUAGGAAUGAGGGGAAAGAGCAAAAGGCACAUUCUAUUGAAGUUUUGUCUCUUUUGAAGUGCUUUUCAAGAAGGUCCAUCUAGGAACUCCUUACUUUUAACCGGCCAGUAUUGUUUCAGAUCACCACUCCUAACUACAAGGGACUAAGGGGAGGUCUUUUACCUGGGCACCCUACUGCCCCAGACAAAAUCAGCACUUUGUGAAAGGAAAGGGGAAUAGGUUUUGGGUAGGCAACUAGCAUGCCUGCCAUGACUUUCUCCCCCCAAAAGCAAAUAUUUGAGGUGCUCUUGAUAAUUAUCAAGUACUUGCUCUAACACUGAUUUCUUGAUUCCUUGUCUGGCCGGUUACUCCAACAAUUACUCAGUAUCACUAAUGAUCUGGACAAAAGGUCUGAGUGCCCUAUUGAAUUCUAAAAAAGUUUGUAAAACAAUGUUAGCCUAACAAAGUAGUCAAGAAAUAAUGGGCUCCAUGGUUUCUCUUUUACAUGGUAAUUAAUAUUUAAUUACACCUCAGUUACAAUUCUAGGUGAAAUGUUUGAAAUACCUCAUUUGAAAACUUUUCCACUUUUACCUAAGGGAGGUAUGGAGAGAUGUUCUUGGACACAAGCUGGUGUGGCCUAGGCUGACCAGCUCUAGCGCUUGUCAGCCCAAACAGGAUAUGACACUGUUAUGGUGACUGCAAACUUGGAACCUUUGCCCUUCCUGAGCUGGAAAACUGUUUUCUCAAUACAGGUUAGCCAUCAGGGCAUGCAGCAGCCCCUUCUUAGGAAGUACCAGUAAAUGAAAAUAAAUAAUUGAAGCAAAGAGUGGUUCUUUUCUAUUUUGUCAAAGUAUUAGUAGUUGAGGGUCAAAGUUGUUUCUACAACUGGCCAUCCAAACUGGUCAUGCCUCUAGAAUGUAUCAGAGGCAAAUGCUGGUAGUUAAGAGUGUCAAAGAGAACCAUAUGUCCUUCAUUAUUAAAUCACUCACAUAUUUACUUAAUGGUUGUGCCAUUCUUUCCCACCUCUGGGUCCUGGCUCAUAUGACAUCUUCUACUUGGAGCACUCUCCUCAGCCACUUUUGCAUGACUCCUGUUCACUUUGCGUGUUUCAGCAUGGAGGAUCUGUUUGUUCAUUACUGUAAAUGUAGGAGGUAUGAUUAAUAUUGAGCGUAUUUGUGGGUGUCAAUGAUUGAUUUUCUUACUGUUGCAUCUUUUUUUCCCUUUCCUUCUCUUCAGACUUUUUUUUUUUUUUUUAAAUAUGCA